GGACGAACCCUUGGAGAGAUCCAAUGUGCAAUGCACAAAAUGGACGCCGAAGGCGCAAAAGAGCGGUGUUUUUUACUGCUUUUCAAACGCUCAGGCAAAAGGACAGGGGCAAAAGA
Molecule: non-coding RNA, 116 nt
Filed under: Histophilus somni
Lineage: Bacteria; Pseudomonadati; Pseudomonadota; Gammaproteobacteria; Pasteurellales; Pasteurellaceae
Description: Haemophilus somnus Glycine sequence
Rfam family: Glycine riboswitch aptamer
About the family: This family represents the bacterial glycine riboswitch.
Source: RNAcentral